UUAUCAAUAGACAAUAUAUCAUGUAUAAUUUUCUCAUGUAUUAUGUCCAGCUUCCAUAUUGUGUUAUAUCUAAUAAUAAAAUAUUUUCAUUUUUACAAUCAGUGUGAACACAUUUGUUUUAGAUCAUAUACCUGCAUCCCCUAUCCCAUCUCCUGCUCCGCCGGACAAAUUAACGAUUCCACGAGGAUUCUUCAAAAGUUUAAAAACGCAUGUAAAGAGGGGCCAACUUACACAAGUGCGACUUGCGGUUGCAUGCAUUUUCGUCACUACGUAAGACAUCAUGCUGAUGUGGUACAAGAACUGUCCAACAUCACAAUUCCUGAAAAGUCCUACAGAUCGUAUAUCUCUCAAAAAACAGCCCCGGAAAAUAUGUACUCGAAAUUGAACGUUCUAUGAUUCGUCUUCUUCAUUCCGUGAAAAUAGUGCGUUCAAUCAACCUAACCGAAAAAAGAGAAAACAUGAGCUUAAUUUUCGAAGAAUCCCCUCUGUAUAAGUUAGUCUCUGUGUAAGUAGUCGGUGAGUAUCUACGUAGUUUAUUAUUAUUCAUUCAAUAUGUCCAAUUCAAAAAUGAAAAUUUUAAAAUGGCUCAAUUUUUCAAAGUUAUUUUGAAAUAUAAUAUGUAUCUAUAGCACUGCGGUAUCUUCCACUUUUUAAAGUUGUCCCUUUGUGUUCCUUUGCCGUUUUUAAGACAACAUUUCUAUUCGAGUUUUGAUUUAUUUGAAAAUAUUAUUUGCUUGUCGCUAUUUUUCCUAAGCCUGGACUGACUUUAUAAUCUGAAUCAAUAUUCAGUAUCAAUGAGCUUCACACUGUUAUAUAUCUGGGAGUGAAAUUCGGUGCAUAUUUCAUCCUAGAGGCUCUCUAGCGAACAAAUAACCCGCGUGGUGCGAAUGCGAGGUUAAAUUAGCUUAAUUCAUAAGAGUAUACGACACUUUGCAAAAAAUGGUAAAAUCCACUCCAUUAAUCCUAUCCCUCGGGAUCUCUGGAUGUAGUGUCGACUCCAGAGUGAAAAACAGUACGCAGUAUUUAGCGGCUCGUGAGAAAUUUUCCUGAGAGAAGUUACUCAAAGGUCAUCAAAUUUGAUGGAAUAGGAGUUUUGUCCAAAUAGUAAAGGGUCCUUUGCCAGCAUUCAAAUGAUAACCCUAAACCACAUACUGAAUGUAAUGAAUUCCUUUCCUUUGUAUAUUUUUUCAGAGCAAGAUGCUCCUGGCACAUUUCCUGUUUUGCCUGCUAAGAAGCAAGAAUUUGUAUCCUUGAUUUUCUCCCAUUUAUUCCGAUCUGAAUGACAAGACGGGUGGGGGGAGGGGGGGGUGCGCCGCUCCGCUCAAAACUUCUGAUAUGAAAGGGCGCAGCCUUAGAUCGGCAGGGGCGCGCGAAGAUAUCUAGUUACACCACUGUAAGGCAAGUGGACCAGUGUAUGCCACUUCACCAGUGAAUGCCACCUCCAUGAUUACUUGUAAAUAUUAAGCCAUAGGUUCAGGAUCAGGUGAAGGAAAAAUUAACUUUAAAAUCACCAACAGAUGGCAGCUCAGAACAACAACAGCUGAGAGCAUCAACAAAGAAGAAGAAAAGCAGGAGGUGUUUACUUAAGUUUUCGGUAAGAAACCGCAAGUUCUUUAUCACUUAUUUAAGUGAUUUCUAUUGUUCCAUAGGUUAUGAAAACUUUUAAAGACAUAACUGAUGUAAUUAUGUAACUAAUUUCAUCGUAUUUAUAGUUAAAAAUUGAUUUUAAGAUUGUCCAGGGGUGGCAGUAACCAGUUCACUCAUUUUCUGGGAUCGCCAGUGAGUGCCAUAGGUGGCAUCUACCAGUGCAGGUUUUUUGGGAUGACUUAGUGAAUGCCACUCUGCUUUAUAACUUUUUCUUAGAUCAUCAAUGAAAAUGUUCCAUAUUCUUUUAUAUAUUUGACUUCAAAAAUGCCAAAUAGUGUACUAUAUAGGAUUACUAAAUCAUCAGUGUUGAUGUAACUCUAAGGAACACAAAUUUUAAACUCUAUUCCUUGUGUAGAGAAUUGAACUCGUUGUUUACUUUGAGAAAGUUCGUUAAAUUUUC
This 2047-nucleotide long non-coding RNA is filed under the name Bemisia tabaci. Its description in RNAcentral is "lncRNA ENSSSA1NGG004949". The record is from RNAcentral. Lineage: Eukaryota; Metazoa; Arthropoda; Insecta; Hemiptera; Aleyrodidae.